CCUACGGGUGGCAGCAGUGAGGAAUAUUGGUCAAUGGGCGGGAGCCUGAACCAGCCAAGUCGCGUGAAGGAAGAAGGCGCCAGGCGUCGUAAACUUCUUUUGUCGGGGAACAAAGGGCGCCACGUGUGGCGUUGUGAGUGUACCCGAAGAAAAAGCAUCGGCUAACUCCGUGCCAGCAGCCGCGGUAAUACGGAGGAUGCGAGCGUUAUCCGGAUUUAUUGGGUUUAAAGGGUGCGCAGGCGGGACGGAAAGUCAGCGGUAAAAGCGAGGGGCUCAACCUCGGCGAGCCGUUGAAACUGUCGGACUUGAGUCAGCGAGAAGUACGCGGAAUGCGCGGUGUAGCGGUGAAAUGCAUAGAUAUCGCGCAGAACUCCGAUUGCGAAGGCAGCAUACCGGCGCCGGACUGACGCUGAUGCACGAAAGCGUGGGUAUCGAACAGGAUUAGAUACCCGUGUAGUC
This 459-nucleotide ribosomal RNA is filed under the name uncultured bacterium. RNAcentral's name for it is "partial 16S ribosomal RNA". It matches the Rfam family "Bacterial small subunit ribosomal RNA", at positions 338 to 795 of the family's 1533-position model. The record is from RNAcentral.